RNAcentral lists this transfer RNA (73 nucleotides) under Ailuropoda melanoleuca (giant panda). It matches the Rfam family "tRNA". From Rfam's summary of the family: Transfer RNA (tRNA) molecules are approximately 80 nucleotides in length. Their secondary structure includes four short double-helical elements and three loops (D, anti-codon, and T loops). Further hydrogen bonds mediate the characteristic L-shaped molecular structure. tRNAs have two regions of fundamental functional importance: the anti-codon, which is responsible for specific mRNA codon recognition, and the 3' end, to which the tRNAs corresponding amino acid is attached (by aminoacyl-tRNA synthetases). tRNAs cope with the degeneracy of the genetic code in two manners: having more than one tRNA (with a specific anti-codon) for a particular amino acid; and 'wobble' base-pairing, i.e. permitting non-standard base-pairing at the 3rd anti-codon position. Lineage: Eukaryota; Metazoa; Chordata; Mammalia; Carnivora; Ursidae. The record is from Rfam by way of RNAcentral.
GCCUGGCUGGCUCAGUCAGUAGAGCAUAUGACUCUUGACCUCAGGGCUGUGAGUUCAAACCCCACACUGGGCA